CCUACGGGCGGCAGCAGUGAGGAAUAUUGGUCAAUGGACGCAAGUCUGAACCAGCCAUGCCGCGUGCAGGAAGACGGCGCUAUGAGUUGUAAACUGCUUUUGUACGAGGGAAAACGCAGAUACGCGUAUCGGUCUGAAAGUAUCGUACGAAUAAGGAUCGGCUAACUCCGUGCCAGCAGCCGAGGUAAUACGGAGGAUUCAAGCGUUAUCCGGAUUUCUUGGGUUUAAAGGGUGCGUAGGCGGUCGGAUAAGUUAGAGGUGAAAUCCCGAGGCUCAACUUCGGAAUUGCCUCUGAUACUGUUCGGCUAGAUAGUAGUUUCGGUAGGCGGACUGUUUGUUGUAGCGGUGCACUGC
This 354-nucleotide ribosomal RNA is filed under the name uncultured bacterium. Its description in RNAcentral is "partial 16S ribosomal RNA". It matches the Rfam family "Bacterial small subunit ribosomal RNA", at positions 338 to 689 of the family's 1533-position model. The record is from RNAcentral.